UAGCCGCAGCGAAAGCGAGUCUGAAUAGGGCGACCCACACGCGCAUACGCGCGUGUGAAUAGUGGCGUGUUCUGGACCCGAAGCGGAGUGAUCUACCCAUGGCCAGGGUGAAGCGCGGGUAAGACCGCGUGGAGGCCCGAACCCACUUAGGUUGAAGACUGAGGGGAUGAGCUGUGGGUAGGGGUGAAAGGCCAAUCAAACUCCGUGAUAGCUGGUUCUCCCCGAAAUGCAUUUAGGUGCAGCGUUGCGUGGUUCACCGCGGAGGUAGAGCUACUGGAUGGCCGAUGGGCCCUACUAGGUUACUGACGUCAGCCAAACUCCGAAUGCCGUGGUGUAAAGCGUGGCAGUGAGACGGCGGGGGAUAAGCUCCGUACGUCGAAAGGGAAACAGCCCAGAUCGCCGGCUAAGGCCCCCAAGCGUGUGCUAAGUGGGAAAGGAUGUGCAGUCGCAAAGACAACCAGGAGGUUGGCUUAGAAGCAGCCACCCUUGAAAGAGUGCGUAAUAGCUCACUGGUCAAGUGAUUGUGCGCCGAUAAUGUAGCGGGGCUCAAGCACACCGCCGAAGCCGCGGCACAUCCACCUUGUGGUGGGUGUGGGUAGGGGAGCGUCCCUCAUUCAGCGAAGCCACCGGGUGACCGGUGGUGGAGGGUGGGGGAGUGAGAAUGCAGGCAUGAGUAGCGACAAGGCAAGUGAGAACCUUGCCCGCCGAAAGACCAAGGGUUCCUGGGCCAGGCCAGUCCGCCCAGGGUGAGUCGGGACCUAAGGCGAGGCCGACAGGCGUAGUCGAUGGACAACGGGUUGAUAUUCCCGUACCCGUGUGUGGGCGCCCGUGACGAAUCAGCGGUACUAACCACCCAAAACCGGAUCGAUCACUCCCCUUCGGGGGUGUGGAGUUCUGGGGCUGCGUGGGAACUUCGCUGGUAGUAGUCAAGCGAAGGGGUGACGCAGGAAGGUAGCCGUACCAGUCAGUGGUAACACUGGGGCAAGCCGGUAGGGAGAGCGAUAGGCAAAUCCGUCGCUCACUAAUCCUGAGAGGUGACGCAUAGCCGGUUGAGGCGAAUUCGGUGAUCCUCUGCUGCCAAGAAAAGCCUCUAGCGAGCACACACACGGCCCGUACCCCAAACCGACACAGGUGGUCAGGUAGAGCAUACCAAGGCGUACGAGAUAACUAUGGUUAAGGAACUCGGCAAAAUGCCCCCGUAACUUCGGGAGAAGGGGGACCGGAAUAUCGUGAACACCCUUGCGGUGGGAGCGGGAUCCGGUCGCAGAAACCAGUGAGGAGCGACUGUUUACUAAAAACACAGGUCCGUGCGAAGUCGCAAGACGAUGUAUACGGACUGACGCCUGCCCGGUGCUGGAAGGUUAAGAGGACCCGUUAACCCGCAAGGGUGAAGCGGAGAAUUUAAGCCCCAGUAAACGGCGGUGGUAACUAUAACCAUCCUAAGGUAGCGAAAUUCCUUGUCGGGUAAGUUCCGACCUGCACGAAUGGCGUAACGACUUCUCAACUGUCUCAACCAUAGACUCGGCGAAAUUGCACUACGAGUAAAGAUGCUCGUUACGCGCGGCAGGACGAAAAGACCCCGGGACCUUCACUACAACUUGGUAUUGAUGUUCGGUACGGUUUGUGUAGGAUAGGUGGGAGACUGUGAAACCUCGACGCCAGUUGGGGCGGAGUCGUUGUUGAAAUACCACUCUGAUCGUAUUGGGCAUCUAACCUCGAACCCUGAAUCGGGUUUAGGGACAGUGCCUGGCGGGUAGUUUAACUGGGGCGGUUGCCUCCUAAAAUGUAACGGAGGCGCCCAAAGGUUCCCUCAACCUGGACGGCAAUCAGGUGGCGAGUGUAAAUGCACAAGGGAGCUUGACUGCGAGACUUACAAGUCAAGCAGGGACGAAAGUCGGGAUUAGUGAUCCGGCACCCCCGAGUGGAAGGGGUGUCGCUCAACGGAUAAAAGGUACCCCGGGGAUAACAGGCUGAUCUUCCCCAAGAGUCCAUAUCGACGGGAUGGUUUGGCACCUCGAUGUCGGCUCGUCGCAUCCUGGGGCUGGAGCAGGUCCCAAGGGUUGGGCUGUUCGCCCAUUAAAGCGGCACGCGAGCUGGGUUUAGAACGUCGUGAGACAGUUCGGUCUCUAUCCGCCGCGCGCGUCAGAAACUUGAGGAAACCUGUCCCUAGUACGAGAGGACCGGGACGGACGAACCUCUGGUGCACCAGUUGUCCCGCCAGGGGCACCGCUGGAUAGCCACGUUCGGUCAGGAUAACCGCUGAAAGCAUCUAAGCGGGAAACCUUCUCCAAGAUCAGGUUUCUCACCCACUUGGUGGGAUAAGGCCCCCCGCAGAACACGGGUUCAAUAGGUCAGACCUGGAAGCUCAGUAAUGGGUGUAGGGAACUGGUGCUAACCGGCCGAAAACUUACAACA
This 2415-nucleotide ribosomal RNA is filed under the name Mycobacterium tuberculosis. Its description in RNAcentral is "bacterial LSU rRNA". It matches the Rfam family "Bacterial large subunit ribosomal RNA", at positions 663 to 2925 of the family's 2925-position model. Lineage: Bacteria; Bacillati; Actinomycetota; Actinomycetes; Mycobacteriales; Mycobacteriaceae. The record is from RNAcentral.